CCUACGGGAGGCAGCAGUGGGGAAUAUUGCGCAAUGGGCGAAAGCCUGACGCAGCGACGCCGCGUGAGGGAUGAAGGUCUUCGGAUCGUAAACCUCUGUCAGCAGGGAAGAACGGUCACUGUGCUAAUCAGCAGUGCAUUGACGGGACCUGCAAAGGAAGCACCGGCUAACUCCGUGCCAGCAGCCGCGGUAAUACGGAGGGUGCGAGCGUUAAUCGGAAUUACUGGGCGUAAAGCGCUCGUAGGCGGUAUGUCAAGUCAAGGGUGAAAUCCCCGCGCUCAACGUGGGAACUGCCUUUGAAACUGGCAAACUGGAGUGUGUGAGAGGAUAGUGGAAUGCCAGGUGUAGGAGUGAAAUCCGUAGAUAUCUGGAGGAACAUCAGUGGCGAAGGCGACUAUCUGGCACAUAACUGACGCUGAGGAGCGAAAGCGUGGGGAGCAAACAGGAUUAGAUACCCUUGUAGUC
This 465-nucleotide ribosomal RNA is filed under the name uncultured bacterium. Its description in RNAcentral is "partial 16S ribosomal RNA". It matches the Rfam family "Bacterial small subunit ribosomal RNA", at positions 338 to 795 of the family's 1533-position model. The record is from RNAcentral.